Molecule: long non-coding RNA, 491 nt
Filed under: Anser brachyrhynchus (Pink-footed goose)
Lineage: Eukaryota; Metazoa; Chordata; Aves; Anseriformes; Anatidae
Description: lncRNA (ENSABRG00000022649.1)
Source: RNAcentral
CUGCAUUAACAAUUUGCAACCAAACCACAGGGACAGUACUCUUGAUUCAAGAGAGAAGGAUUCUGGCCAGUGGUAGAGUCACUGGUCCAUCAUGAGUUACUUAUAAUUUUAGUUCAGGAAGAACCAGAGAAACAACGACAACAACAACAACAACAACAACAACAACAACAACAAAAGGAUAUUCAGAAAAGCAAGGAUAAUGCAGAUGAAGUCCUGAUUCUCUAACGUAGCUAUUAAGACCUGAAUUUCAUCCUGGCAUCGUGCUUGUGUGUUUCAAACAAAGAAUAUUUAAGCCAAGUAUUCUCUCAAUACAAACAACUUACAAAAAGCUUAUCUUGGAAGCCAGAACAUAGAUGGUAAUACUGUGUUGUCUAUAAGAAGUGUUUUAACACCUGUUGAAAUCUGCUCCAUCAAUGAAGUGUAGCAGAUUUCUGACAAAAGCAAAUGGUGUGCAUAUACAUUUCUAUGUGAAUUAGAGACAUAUUUUCUCA